UACGAAGGGGGCUAGCGUUGCUCGGAAUCACUGGGCGUAAAGGGUGCGUAGGCGGGUCUUUAAGUCAGGGGUGAAAUCCUGGAGCUCAACUCCAGAACUGCCUUUGAUACUGAGGAUCUUGAGUUCGGGAGAGGUGAGUGGAACUGCGAGUGUAGAGGUGAAAUUCGUAGAUAUUCGCAAGAACACCAGUGGCGAAGGCGGCUCACUGGACCGGUACUGACGCUGAUGCGCGAAAGCGUGGGGAGCAAACGGG
This 253-nucleotide ribosomal RNA is filed under the name uncultured bacterium. RNAcentral's name for it is "partial 16S ribosomal RNA". It matches the Rfam family "Bacterial small subunit ribosomal RNA", at positions 524 to 776 of the family's 1533-position model. The record is from RNAcentral.